Molecule: ribosomal RNA, 445 nt
Filed under: uncultured bacterium
Lineage: Bacteria
Description: bacterial SSU rRNA
Rfam family: Bacterial small subunit ribosomal RNA
Source: RNAcentral
UCCCAGACUCCUACGGGAGGCAGCAGUGGGGAAUAUUGCACAAUGGGGGAAACCCUGAUGCAGCGACGCCGCGUGAGUGAAGAAGUAAUUCGUUAUGUAAAGCUCUAUCAGCAGGGAAGAAAAUGACGGUACCUGAGUAAGAAGCCCCGGCUAACUACGUGCCAGCAGCCGCGGUAAUACGUAGGGGGCAAGCGUUAUCCGGAUUUACGGGGUGUAAAGGGUGCGUAGGCGGUCCGGAAAGUCAGCGGUAAACGCCCGGGGCCCACCCCCGGCGAGCCGUUGAAACUGUCGGACUAGAGACGGCGAGAAGUACGCGGAAUGCGCGGUGUAGCGGUGAAAUGCAUAGAUAUCGCGCAGAACUCCGAUUGCGAAGGCAGCGUACCGGCGCCGGACUGACGCUGAGGCACGAAAGCGUGGGUAUCGAACAGGAUUAGAUACCCCAGUA